Molecule: long non-coding RNA, 791 nt
Organism: Haliotis rubra (blacklip abalone)
Lineage: Eukaryota; Metazoa; Mollusca; Gastropoda; Lepetellida; Haliotidae
Exons: 2
Source: RefSeq, a predicted model, not a curated record
UGCAAGUAAUCCAGAAUUGUUUGUGUUCGAUCAUGAGAAAACAUGAUAGAUUGCUUGGUCGUUUAGUCACUGCGAACAAUCUUCGAUUAUUUCAAUUAAUCAGACCACCACUAUAUUUAACGCCUUUGGUGCUGAAAUUUUUUUAAAAGGGGGCGUUUAUUUAAUCACUUGUCAGUCACUUGAGCCAGUAAAAACAACAUAUCAAAAUGCUAAUUAUAGAAAUUACCGGCACUCUAUUAUGGCUGGUGACCUUUGUUGCAGUGAGAGCAUGAGAUUGGUAACUCACCUGAAAACCCUUCUCCAUUGACAAUUUGUAUGUAUACAACUUAAACAAACCUCAAAAAGGGGGGCACUAUAAAAGAAUAUUUUUUGUUUAUUUGAACAUAUGGUCGGGGAUGGGGGUGUGGAUGGGGCAUUAUGAGGACAGGGCGCUUAAUAUGUCGAAUACGGUAAUCCCCAACCAUCGUCUUGUCUGUCAGAAAGAACCCUGACCUACGUUGACGCUGUCACCUGUGAAGGGUGUAUGGCUAUUGCUGCACCAUUUUGAAGUGUUUGUUUAAACCAAUGUUGCAAUCUAAUGGAAGCACCUAAUUAUAUGAGGAGAGGAGGAGUUGAUUAGCUGCUGAGAAAUACUUACAGGCUUUCUACUUCAAAGGCUUCCUUUUAAUGAAGCAUUUAAACUUUGAGAGGCGAGAUAAACCAGUGAACUUGUUGAAAUGUGUGAUUUGAGAAGUUAAAUAGAUAUUUUUUUCAGUUUUCUUUUGCCUGGGAUUCAUCAGUUUAAGUCUGAA